Molecule: ribosomal RNA, 440 nt
Filed under: uncultured bacterium
Lineage: Bacteria
Description: partial 16S ribosomal RNA
Rfam family: Bacterial small subunit ribosomal RNA
Source: RNAcentral
CCUACGGGGAGCUGCAGUGGGGGAUAUUGCACAAUGGGGGGAACCCUGAUGCAGCGACGCCGCGUGGGUGAAGAAGCGCCUCGGCGCGUAAAGCCCUGUCAGCAGGGAAGACAAUGACGGUACCUGAAGAAGAAGCCCCGGCUAACUACGUGCCAGCAGCCGCGGUAAUACGUAGGGGGCAAGCGUUAUCCGGAUUUACUGGGUGUAAAGGGGGCGUAGACGGCGGGGCAAGACAGGAGUGAAAGCCCGGGGCCCAACCCCGGGACUGCUCUGGAAACUGCCUGGCUGGAGUGCGGGAGGGGCAGGCGGAAUUCCUGGUGUAGCGGUGAAAUGCGUAGAUAUUAGGAGGAACACCAGUGGCGAAGGCGGCCUGCUGGACUGCGACUGACGUUGAGGCCCGAAAGCGUGGGGAGCAAACAGGAUUAGAUACCCCGGUAGUC